AGGAUGAACGCUGGCGGUGUGCCUAAUACAUGCAAGUCGAACGGGAUCUUCGGAUCUAGUGGCGGACGGGUGAGUAACACGUUGGUACCUACCCCUAAGUGGGGAAUAACUGCCCGAAAGGGUGGCUAAUACCACAUAAUCCCGCAAGGGUAAAGCAGUAAUGCGCUUAGGGAGGGGCCUGCGUCUGAUUAGCUAGUUGGUAGGGUAAUGGCCUACCAAGGCGACGAUCAGUAGCUGGAUCGAGAGGUUGACCAGCCACACUGGGACUGAGAUACGGCCCAGACUCCUACGGGAGGCAGCAGUAAGGAAUCUCCACAAUGGACGAAAGUCUGAUGGAGCAACACCGCGUGCAGGACGACGGUCUUCGGAUUGUAAACUGUCUUUUAUAUGGGAAGAUUAUGACGGUACCAUAUGAAUAAGGACCGCUAACUACGUGCCAGCAGCCGC
Molecule: ribosomal RNA, 447 nt
Filed under: uncultured bacterium
Lineage: Bacteria
Description: SSU rRNA
Rfam family: Bacterial small subunit ribosomal RNA
Source: RNAcentral